GACGAACGCUGGCGGUAUGCUUAACACAUGCAAGUCGAACGAGAAGUUUUUUAUUGAACCUUCGGGGGAUAUAAGAGACAGACAGUGGCGAACGGGUGAGUAACGCGUGGGCAACCUACCUAUCGGAGCGGGAUAGCCUCGAGAAAUCGGGAGUAAAACCGCAUAACACGGAUAUAUCGCAUGAUGAAUCCGUCAAAACUCCGGUGCCGAUAGAUGGGCCCGCGUCUGAUUAGCUAGUUGGUAAGGUAAGGGCUUACCAAGGCAACGAUCAGUAGCCGGUUUGAGAGGGCGAACGGCCACACUGGAACUGAGACACGGUCCAGACUCCUACGGGAGGCACAGUGGGGAAUAUUGCGCAAUGGGGGCAACCCUGACGCAGCAAUACCGCGUGAGUGAAGAAGGUUUUCGGAUCGUAAAGCUCUGUUAUUGGGGAAGAAGCAGGACGGUA
RNAcentral lists this ribosomal RNA (448 nucleotides) under Pseudoramibacter alactolyticus. RNAcentral's name for it is "bacterial SSU rRNA". It matches the Rfam family "Bacterial small subunit ribosomal RNA", at positions 28 to 477 of the family's 1533-position model. Lineage: Bacteria; Bacillati; Bacillota; Clostridia; Eubacteriales; Eubacteriaceae. The record is from RNAcentral.